Non-coding RNA from Macroventuria anomochaeta, 102 nucleotides. The record is from the annotation of a RefSeq genome assembly. NCBI's taxonomy places the organism in Eukaryota, Fungi, Ascomycota, Dothideomycetes, Pleosporales, Didymellaceae.
GAAAAUAGCGGAGUGGUUAACGCGUUGGCCUGCUAUCUAUCUCUCUGAGCUAGAAGUCAGCCAAUUCCUUCGGGAGCGUGUGUUCGAAUCACACAGGUGUCG